Molecule: ribosomal RNA, 492 nt
Filed under: Alternaria alternata
Lineage: Eukaryota; Fungi; Ascomycota; Dothideomycetes; Pleosporales; Pleosporaceae
Description: eukaryotic LSU rRNA
Rfam family: 5.8S ribosomal RNA (bases 171-324)
Source: RNAcentral
CAUUACACAAAUAUGAAGGCGGGCUGGAACCUCUCGGGGUUACAGCCUUGCUGAAUUAUUCACCCUUGUCUUUUGCGUACUUCUUGUUUCCUUGGUGGGUUCGCCCACCACUAGGACAAACAUAAACCUUUUGUAAUUGCAAUCAGCGUCAGUAACAAAUUAAUAAUUACAACUUUCAACAACGGAUCUCUUGGUUCUGGCAUCGAUGAAGAACGCAGCGAAAUGCGAUAAGUAGUGUGAAUUGCAGAAUUCAGUGAAUCAUCGAAUCUUUGAACGCACAUUGCGCCCUUUGGUAUUCCAAAGGGCAUGCCUGUUCGAGCGUCAUUUGUACCCUCAAGCUUUGCUUGGUGUUGGGCGUCUUGUCUCUAGCUUUGCUGGAGACUCGCCUUAAAGUAAUUGGCAGCCGGCCUACUGGUUUCGGAGCGCAGCACAAGUCGCACUCUCUAUCAGCAAAGGUCUAGCAUCCAUUAAGCCUUUUUUUCAACUUUUGAC